AGUGAACGCUGGCGGUAGGCCUAACACAUGCAAGUCGAACGGCAGCACAGUAAGAGCUUGCUCUUACGGGUGGCGAGUGGCGGACGGGUGAGGAAUACAUCGGAAUCUACUUUUUCGUGGGGGAUAACGUAGGGAAACUUACGCUAAUACCGCAUACGACCUACGGGUGAAAGCAGGGGAUCUUCGGACCUUGCGCGAUUGAAUGAGCCGAUGUCGGAUUAGCUAGUUGGCGGGGUAAAGGCCCACCAAGGCGACGAUCCGUAGCUGGUCUGAGAGGAUGAUCAGCCACACUGGAACUGAGACACGGUCCAGACUCCUACGGGAGGCAGCAGUGGGGAAUAUUGGACAAUGGGCGCAAGCCUGAUCCAGCCAUACCGCGUGGGUGAAGAAGGCCCUCGGGUUGUAAAGCCCUUUUGUUGGGAAAGAAAAGCAGCAGGUUAAUACCCCGCUGCUCUGACGGUACCCAAAGAAUAAGCACCGGCUAACUUCGUG
This 492-nucleotide ribosomal RNA is filed under the name uncultured bacterium. Its description in RNAcentral is "partial 16S ribosomal RNA". It matches the Rfam family "Bacterial small subunit ribosomal RNA", at positions 29 to 507 of the family's 1533-position model. The record is from RNAcentral.